This 427-nucleotide ribosomal RNA is filed under the name uncultured bacterium. Its description in RNAcentral is "partial 16S ribosomal RNA". It matches the Rfam family "Bacterial small subunit ribosomal RNA", at positions 354 to 796 of the family's 1533-position model. The record is from RNAcentral.
GUGAGGAAUAUUGCACAAUGGGCGAAAGCCUGAUGCAGCAACGCCGCGUGAGUGAUGAAGGCCUUUGGGUCGUAAAACUCUGUCCUUGGGGAAGAAAAAAAUGACGGUACCCUUGGAGGAAGCCCCGGCUAACUACGUGCCAGCAGCCGCGGUAAUACGUAGGGGACAAGCGUUAUCCGGAAUUAUUGGGCGUAAAGAGUGCGUAGGUGGUUUUGUAAGCGUAGGGUGAAAGGCAGUAGCUCAACUAUUGUUAGCCCUGCGAACUGUGAGACUUGAGUGCAGGAGAGGAAAGUGGAAUUCCUAGUGUAGCGGUGAAAUGCGUAGAUAUUAGGAGGAACACCAGUGGCGAAGGCGACUUUCUGGACUGUAACUGACACUGAGGCACGAAAGCGUGGGUAGCAAACAGGAUUAGAUACCCCUGUAGUCC